AUUGAACGCUGGCGGCAGGCCUAACACAUGCAAGUCGAGCGAGCGGCGGACGGGUGAGUAAUGUAUGGGGACUGCCCGAUAUAGGGGGAUAACUCCUGGAAACGGUAGCUAAUACCGCAUACUAUCGGAUAACCCAUAUGGGAUUAGCUCGUAGUUGUGGUAAUGGCUCACCUAGGCGACGAUCCCUAGCUGGUCUGAGAGGAUGAUCAGCCAGACGGGGACUGAGACACGGCCCAGACGCCUACGGAGGCAGCGGUGGGGAAUAUUGCACAAUGGGCGCAAGCCGGAUGAAGCCAUGCCGCGUGUAUGAAGAAGGCGCUAGGGUUGUAAAGUACGUUCAGUCGGGAGGCGUUACCGGGAGAAGAAGCACCGGCUAACUCCGUGCCAGCAGCCGCGGUAAUUC
Molecule: ribosomal RNA, 403 nt
Filed under: uncultured bacterium
Lineage: Bacteria
Description: partial 16S ribosomal RNA
Rfam family: Bacterial small subunit ribosomal RNA
Source: RNAcentral